UACGAAGGGGGCUAGCGUUGCUCGGAAUCACUGGGCUUAAAGGGUGCGUAGGCGGGUCUUUAAGUCAGGGGUGAAAUCCUGGAGCUCAACUCCAGAACUGCCUUUGAUACUGAGGAUCUUGAGUUCGGGAGAGGUGAGUGGAACUGCGAGUGUAGAGGUGAAAUUCGUAGAUAUUCGCAAGAACACCAGUGGCGAAGGCGGCUCACUGGCCCGAUACUGACGCUGAGGCACGAAAGCGUGGGGAGCAAACAGG
This 253-nucleotide ribosomal RNA is filed under the name uncultured bacterium. Its description in RNAcentral is "partial 16S ribosomal RNA". It matches the Rfam family "Bacterial small subunit ribosomal RNA", at positions 524 to 776 of the family's 1533-position model. The record is from RNAcentral.